AGCAGGUUUGGUCCUAGCCUCAGUGUUAAUUAUAACUAGACUUAUACAUGCAAGUUUCCGCAUUCCGGUGAAAACGCCCUAAUCAUACUCUAAUUUGAUUAGAUGUUGGUAUCAGGCACAUACAUUGUCAUAGCCCAUGACACCUCGCUUAGGCGGGGCAUUAGGGACUCAGCAGUGAUAAAACAUUGUUUUAUGAGCGAAAGCUUGAAUCAAUCAAAGUUAUAAAGAGUUGGUCAAUCUCAUGCCAGCCACCGUGGUUAUACGAGUGACACAAAUUAAUAUUCUACGGCGUUAAGGGUGAUUAGAAGAAAUAUCUUACCAAAAUAAAGUUAAGACCGCAUCAAGCUGUCAUACGCUUUUAUGUCUUAAAAUAUCACUCACGAAAGUAACUUUAACUAUUAAGAGUUUUUGAAUUCACGACAGUUAAGACCCAAACUAGGAUUAGAUACCCUACUAUGCUUAACCCUAAACAUCGUUAUAUAUGAAUUACCCCAAUAUCCGCCCGAACACUACAAGCGCUAGCUUAAAAACCAAAGGACUUGGCGGUGCUCCAAACCCACCUAGAGGAGCCUGUUCUACAACCGAUAAUCCACGUUCAACCUCACCACUUCUUGCCAUUACCGCCUAUAUACCGCCGUCGUAAGCUCACCUUAUGAGAGAUAAAUAGUAAGCCAAAUGGGUUCCCUCCCCAGUACGUCAGGUCGAGGUGUAGCGAAUGAAGUGGGAAGAAAUGGGCUACAUUCUCUUCCUAGAGUAUAACGAACAGAAACAUGAAAAUUUCCUUAAAGGUGGAUUUAGCAGUAAGUACACUUUAGAACACUGUACUGAAACCGGCUCUGGAGCGCGCACACACCGCCCGUCACUCUCCUCAAAAAACAUACAAUUCUUCCAUAAAAAAAUUCUUUGAACAAGAGGAGGCAAGUCGUAACAUGGUAAGUGUACUGGAAAGUGCACUUGGACCAAC
Molecule: non-coding RNA, 964 nt
Filed under: Urolophus aurantiacus (sepia stingray)
Lineage: Eukaryota; Metazoa; Chordata; Chondrichthyes; Myliobatiformes; Urolophidae
Description: 12S ribosomal RNA
Rfam family: Bacterial small subunit ribosomal RNA
Source: RNAcentral